RNAcentral lists this long non-coding RNA (239 nucleotides) under Mytilus galloprovincialis (Mediterranean mussel). The record is from RNAcentral. Lineage: Eukaryota; Metazoa; Mollusca; Bivalvia; Mytilida; Mytilidae.
UAAGCUUUAAUGUAUAUUGAUCUACUUCAUUAUUUGUAAUACAUGUCAUUAUCUUGACACCUUUAUCAUAAAAUAUUUAUUCAAAUUGGUAAACUAUAUUAUACAUUUAAAUAAUGAACAGGAUUAAUAUGGCAAAAGAGAAGAAUCACACAAGAAGCACGUUACCACAAAAUGUCCAUUGUUUUGUGCUCUCUCAUCUGAUCUGGUCAAACUUGCCUAAAAUUUAUAUCACCAUCAGU